RNAcentral lists this long non-coding RNA (689 nucleotides) under Podarcis muralis (Common wall lizard). RNAcentral describes it as "lncRNA (ENSPMRG00000008763.1)". The record is from RNAcentral. Lineage: Eukaryota; Metazoa; Chordata; Lepidosauria; Squamata; Lacertidae.
GUCCCCUGACCUAAACGCGGUGGGGGAUCCAAAGCGCACCUGAAACAGAUCGACCCCCUUCCCCGCAGCGGUAGGGACAGGAAGCGGGAGCCUCGGGCGGCGUUAACAAGCGGAACGGGCGGAGGCGUGUCCAUCGACAGCGAUUUCAUUAGCGGCGCUGCUGGGCUGCGCUGGACGGGGAGGGGGCGGCGAGGAAGCGGGUCUGAGCCGAGGCUGAUUCAUUCACGUGUUGGGAGGGGAAGUGGGGCGGGGGGAGAAGCGAGGCCCAGAACUAGGGGCUCUCCCAGGAGGGAGCGGGGCGGGUGGAGUGUGAGCUGGAGGGGAACGCAGCCGCGCAACGAGCAGCCGCCCUGGCUAUAAAUCCAGGGGGUGAAGCCAAACGGAUCCAAGCCUUAGGACAGUCCUGCGCGCAGCCACCCAAGGGACUGAGGCUGCUGCCGCCUCCGCCGCCUUCUCGCAGCAGCAGCAAUAGUAGCUGCAACACACCCAGGAAGGUGAGACGCGCGUGGCUUCCCCAGGGUGGAGGUUCGUGGAUGCCGAGCUGCCCAGCCCGGCCGAGAGACAGAGAAGAGACCGAGAGAGAAGAGAGGGAGAAAUCCGCAGUUGCACAGCCGCUUCCAGCGCAUCCUGCCAAGCCUUGCAAGUUUGUCCUCUCGCCUUAUGAGCCUGGAAUUAAUUUUCCAAAUAGC